This 497-nucleotide ribosomal RNA is filed under the name uncultured bacterium. RNAcentral's name for it is "partial 16S ribosomal RNA". It matches the Rfam family "Bacterial small subunit ribosomal RNA", at positions 28 to 507 of the family's 1533-position model. The record is from RNAcentral.
GAUGAACGCUGGCGGCGUGCCUAAUACAUGCAAGUCGAGCGAACAGACGAGGAGCUUGCUCCUCUGACGUUAGCGGCGGACGGGUGAGUAACACGUGGAUAACCUACCUAUAAGACUGGGAUAACUUCGGGAAACCGGAGCUAAUACCGGAUAAUAUAUUGAACCGCAUGGUUCAAUAGUGAAAGACGGUUUUGCUGUCUCUUAUAGAUGGAUCCGCGCCGCAUUAGCUAGUUGGUAAGGUAACGGCUUACCAAGGCAACGAUGCGUAGCCGACCUGAGAGGGUGAUCGGCCACACUGGAACUGAGACACGGUCCAGACUCCUACGGGAGGCAGCAGUAGGGAAUCUUCCGCAAUGGGCGAAAGCCUGACGGAGCAACGCCGCGUGAGUGAUGAAGGUCUUCGGAUCGUAAAACUCUGUUAUUGGGGAAGAACAAAUGUGUAAGUAACUAUGCACGUCUUGACGGUACCUAAUCAGAAAGCCACGGCUAACUACGUG